AGAGAGAAGCUGAUGGAAGUAUCCUGGGUGAUUGCUGAAUUUAAGGAGCAGGAGUAGUCCCAGGGAGUCUUGGGCAGUUUUCCACCAUCUCUAUCCUUGUGGAGAAUCACAACACAUGUGCAAAGAUGAUGUGUGAAUUCAUGAGGCACUCCAUGGCAUCUGUGGACAUGUGUGUCAAGGGAGUUUAAAGACACAUGACUUCGAUGUUACUGAAGAUUGUGUCACAAUCAUCAAAUGGAGCUGGUGCCAAAUAAACCAGAUGGAGCUUUCAAUCAACAAACUGCAUUUAUUUUUGAUAUCUGUGGCUUAUUUGUUACCCAUGCACCUUUUAAUAGGAUAAGGAUUUCUGAGAUAUUAUCACAUGGUUCUAUCAUGGAUACCUUCUGCAGGCACCAGUUUGCCACCAAAGACACUAAUCACGGAAGAAAGUGGUAUAGAAACUUGUAUUGAUGUUUUGCCUUUCCAAAGGAAGUAAAUGACAGCAAAGCAUAUUUCAAGGUCUGGUUGCCAACAUACUCAAUUAAGCAGAGUUUGGAGGAGGAGGAGAAGGAGGAGGGGGAUGGCUGGAAACUCCCAGUCAUACUACAAAUGACAGCUAUCUGCUGUCAGAGACCUGGUGACGUUGAACCAAACUGUGAAAUAUGUGUAAUUCCUCAAAUAUCACUGAUGAUGAAGCACCAGAUUUUUAUUUUUUUCCAUGUGGAUGUGACUGCUUUUGACCAUGACAGGUUUUCAUAAAUCUGGUGUCAUUAUAGAACACAUGACUUGUGUCACCACUGCUACAACAAGAGAAAUCCAUCACAGAUCAAAGUGCCAGGAGAAGUCAUAUUCACUAUAUAAGCCCCACUUAAGCUUUCCAAAUACAGCUUGAGUGGAAUUUAAGUGGGCCAUAGACCAUGUUUCUGCUCCUAUACACAGGCAUGAAUUUUACAAUUUGAAAACAAAACUAAAAUAAAAAGCAUUUUCUUAUAUAACA
Molecule: long non-coding RNA, 976 nt
Filed under: Parus major (Great Tit)
Lineage: Eukaryota; Metazoa; Chordata; Aves; Passeriformes; Paridae
Description: lncRNA (ENSPMJG00000019638.1)
Source: RNAcentral